This 450-nucleotide ribosomal RNA is filed under the name uncultured prokaryote. RNAcentral's name for it is "bacterial SSU rRNA". It matches the Rfam family "Bacterial small subunit ribosomal RNA", at positions 355 to 796 of the family's 1533-position model. The record is from RNAcentral.
UGGGGAAUAUUGCGCAAUGGCCGCAAGGCUGACGCAGCGACGCCGCGUGCGGGAGGAAGCCCUUUGGGGUGUAAACCGCUGUCAGGGGGGAAGAAACCCGUCCUCGAGAAUAUCUUGGGCGAUUGACGGUACCCCCAGAGGAAGCACCGGCUAACUCCGUGCCAGCAGCCGCGGUAAUACGGAGGGUGCAAGCGUUGUUCGGAAUUACUGGGCGUAAAGCGCGGGCAGGCGGUUCGUUAAGUCCCCUGUGAAACUCCGAGGCUCAACUUCGGACAUGCAGGAGAUACUGGCGGGCUAGAGAUCGGAAGAGGCAUGCGGAAUUCCUGGUGUAGCGGUGGAAUGCGUAGAUAUCAGGAAGAACACCUGUGGCGAAGGCGGCCUGCUGGGCCGAUUCUGACGCUGAUCCGCGAAAGCGUGGGGAGCAAACAGGAUUAGAUACCCCUGUAGUCC